RNAcentral lists this transfer RNA (76 nucleotides) under Caudoviricetes sp. RNAcentral's name for it is "tRNA-Met". It matches the Rfam family "tRNA". Rfam says of the family: Transfer RNA (tRNA) molecules are approximately 80 nucleotides in length. The record is from RNAcentral. Lineage: Duplodnaviria; Heunggongvirae; Uroviricota; Caudoviricetes.
GGAACAUUAGCACAGCGGUCAGUGCCUUCAGCUCAUAACUGAAUUUACAAAAGUUCAAAUCUUUUAUGUUCCACCA